GAGCCGUGCAGACUGCGAGCAGGAAUCAAACACAGCACGCUGCAGCUUGGCAAGCCCUGCGCUUCUUUUUUUUUUUUCCUUUUUUUUUUUUCUCUUGUGGAGGCUCAUCCUUCCCUUUUGUUUAAGCAACACUUCCAAUGGGAAGAAAGGCUGGAAGAAAGUACUGGUUUAUCCUGAGGCCCUCUCACCAAGCUCCACAGUGCAGCUAAGAGGAAUUCUGCCUGUUUUCCUAAAAACAAGUACAGCCUGCGCCUUUGCAAAAGGACAGAGAAGAGGAGCAACGCGUGAAGGGAGAAGGCAGAGAUAGCUUGUUCUAAGGAAUGCCUUUUUCAGCUACAAGAGGAUACAAGAUGGAAGGGAUACAGAACCUAAUAACCCACCUGGAAAUACUUCAUAUGGAAAAGCAGUUCAGCGAGUUUGGGGAUUGUGCCAAAGAAUUAUCAGACAGGCCUUGCUUGAUAUGAUUUGGGUUUGUGGGCAGCUUUUACAGCCCAGCAGGAUUUCCCAAAGCUGAGGUGCUUUUAAGCUGCCCAUGUAUGUGCCUGGCCCUUAUUGCAGUCCUGGCUGUUGGCCAAAGUGAUUCUGUCUGUCAGAGAGUGAACAAGUGAUGAUCAUUAUGACUUGGAAGAAGCUCAGUUCUUGCUCACUGAGGACUCUGGAGACACAGAAUGGGACAAAAAGAAGUACAGAAAUCAAUCAUAAUGCGGGAGUCAGUAAGGAGAUGGAAUGCUCCUGCAAAUUUCAGCUAUUUAGGACAUGUUCUGCAGGCCGUGCAACAAUUCGUAUGCAGAAGUAGGUAAAUCUGGAAGUGGGAGAAUAAGUGGCAUCCUACAAGAUCUGUAUGCAGCUCCUGCUCUGAGGCGAUCGCACAUCAGCUUGUCUUUAUUCUGAGCACAGAGUGGUGGAUUCCAGUGGCUUCUCUACAGCUGUGAUUCUGCUCCUCAUCCUUCAUGGUUACAAGUGACCAAAGGGCUUCAGGAGCAGCCGCUGCACUGUCUUCAAGAAGAGGGAGAACAGUUCAAUGAAAAGGUGAAGAUGGGGAACCCCCCGCCCUGGAUUUUUUCAAGAUAAAAAGGGACUACUAAAGAAACCAUCCAACCUCCUGCAAAACAGGACAACUGAACUCUGACAUCCAUGGGGCUCCCAGGUAGCAUUUUCAAAUGAAAAUUUACAUUUUUUUGAGCAAAUGUAUUUUGGAGAGCGAAAAAAAGAAAGGAGAAGAGAAGGAAAGAAAAGUGAGUUCCAUGGAAAGCUGCCAUUCUUCAUUGAAUCAAAAACAGAACUUCUUGGAAGUUUACCAACUAGGCAUUUUUGUGUGGAAAACACUAACUCUGCAGAUUGGGCACCGUCCAAGGAAAAAUACACACCAGUUUUGGACAGGAAUAGAGUUGGGGAUCUAGAUGUGUUCACUCUAAAAUACCUGCCAAACAGUCCCUGCUAUGGCAGGAUGUGAGACACCCGCAAUGCCUGUUAUUUUUCUGUGGCAUGCUAUGCAUCUGGCUUUUGGUCUCUAUGCAUCCACGGUGUUUUGGGAGGUGUCCAUCAGUCCUGGAGUGUUGCUUGCCCUUUACAGUCAGUGGAGAUCCAGUCAGUACAGUUACUGGAGUCCUGGGAGCUGUUUAUCUGCCUUUGGCACCUGCACUUGGACAAAUGACUUUGCCCCACACCACACUGAGGGGACUGAAAGGAUGUUGGAGUGUGAUUUUUCAGGGCUGGUAACAAGACUGUUCUGUUGAGUCCAAGUGUCUUUUUCUGAAGUUUAAAUCCAUGUUUAGUAUUAGGCAGGGCACAAAAGGAGCAGAAAACAAGCUGGGAAACCGGCCAUCCCCUGGGCUGUGAUGAGAUUUGGCGUUUGCUUCAAUUUGGGGAUGCCAAACUGAUAUCCACAAAGGCUGAUGUUUCACACUUGAUAUUGCUGCUUGCCACGAGUCUUUGGGCAGUGGAUGAGGAUGGGAAACAGGAGCACAGUUUUUAGCUUGAGCGGCUUCCUCCUCCCACUGAACAGUCCCAGACCUACCCUUGCUCUGUAUUUGAUCUCAUGCAUGGUAAGGAGAAUUUCUGAGGUUUUUUUUCUAGCCCUCUUCAAACUCUCCCUCUUUCUUCAGUGCUUGCCAUAACUGUAUUGGAACACCCACCUUUUCCAUGUGCUUGUCCGUGUACACCUGCCCAUGCAGUUCCUCUUCCCUGUGUUUCACCUCGUGCUGAAUGUGACCCUGUUCUCAGUGAGUCAAAUCCAAUGAGGCAUCGAGACAACCUAACUUUCACCCAGGGAAGGCACGGUGCUGUAACUCCUCUUUGGUUCUGCACCAUGAGCGAACCCUUUAACCCAGAUGGGCUUAUGUUCCCUUGGUCCACCCGUCCCCAAGUCUCACACCCUUGGAGCCACACACUGGAUGUACCUGCAGCAAGCAGGGCUUUCCACCUGGGGCUGCACUGAGAAUACCUGAUUGGUUCACCUUUAUUUGGAGAGAGAAGCCUCUGUUCAUAUUCUUGCCUGGGGCGCAGCACAGCUCUUAAGCAGGACUAGUAUUUCUGGUUUCUUCACAAUACCAACUUUAUCAGCCAGAAGAAAGCUGAACUCUUGAGUUUUUCCAAAGAGGGUCACAACAAGCUUGGCUAGAGCCUUGCAGCAGUUGGCUAUGUCCUCUUGAGUCCCCAGGGCUGGGACAGCACUGAACAACACGGCCACUGGUGCAAGAAGUCUGUCUCACUUGUAAACACAUAGAGCAGCUCAAUAUGCUCUUCCUUCUGUACUUUCAUGCUCCAGUUGCUCAGAAGGAUGCCAGAAAUUGGACAGAAUUCAGUAGAGCAAAUAUAUAUAUGUCUGCAUAUGUACAUACGUAGGUAUGCAUCUGUGUGUGAAAGGUGGGCUAAACACAGUUCUUGCUUUUGGAUAGCAUAAAGCCAGCAUUUUUGUUGGUGGUAUCUUCCACAGGGUAAAGAGAAGGCUCAGUAGAGCUGACUCUACAUGGUGUCAUCACUGAUGGGGCAGGAGAAUUGGCCUCAGUCAUACCCGUAUCAGCUCAAAGCUGCAUUCCCUGGAGGAAGUAAAUGGAAAAGUUGUGUACCUGUUCAGCAGCCUGUAGCUUAGACAGGGACAAGCUCAAGGAGGACUAACCCAGAAACUAAUGAGAAGACUGGGACUGUACUGAAAAACGCCAUGAGUAGGGAGGAAGAGGACAUGGAGGACCCAAGCCUGUCCCUCUGUCCAAGUGUGGAAGUAUUUGGCCUUGCAGGGACAGGGAGUCAAGUGAUCUGUGCAGGAGCACGGGCACCUCUCCUGCAGAGCAGGCAGAUGCUGCACCAGGCUGGGACGUUGCACAGUGAGAGGCUGAGUGCAGAGAGAAGGGUGGGAGGUUUCCCAGGAGCAGUGCAACUCGUAGCUCUGAGAGGCUGGGUCUGGCGUGAAGGUGUGAGCAGACUGGGUUUUAGACGCUCUAGAAGAAGCAGAACAAAAUGACUGAGCAGAAAAGUUAAAUUGUUUUUUUUGUCAACUGAGAAAGCACUGGAAGGUGGUGGCUGACCCUUAGGAAAAGGGUGAGACAGGAAGCAGCUGUGAUAAAGAGGGUAGAGAUGCUAAUCAUGUGUUCUGUCAAGGGCUGGCAUGUGCUCCUUUGUGUCUGGUUGUCUAAAGCUUAGGGAGCUGAUCGUCUCUUCUUUUUUUUAGGCUGGCAACUUAUGCUGGUGUAGGCAAAUCUGUCUCAGUGUUAUCGUAAUGGCAGAGCAGCUUUGGGAGAAAUUAUGGGUAGGAAGAAGGUUUGUGAAGUGGUCCAUAAAUUUCUGAGGUAUGAAGAUAAGCGGGAGUCAGCUGGGACUAGGUGAUAUGGUUUUGGGGACUCUGAGUGGGUAAAGGGUCUGGAGGGCAUCAGUAGGGCUUUGAAGGAGUCUAGGCAGGUAAAGACAUACCCAGGUGUACCAGGACUUUGACAGCCUUGGCAUUUGGCUGGAAAGAGGGGUUCUCUGUCUCUCUCCUUCUCUUCUGCUUCUCCCAAAUCUCACUUGAUGCCAAACCCCUUAACAUAAAGUUCCCGUUCCAACCUACACAUUCCUCCCAUCCCUCUUCCCCAGCAAGAUCACUCCUUUUCCCUUUCCUCCUCCCCAUGCAGAGGCUCUUUCUGCCCUCUGUGGGAAUAGGCAAGGAGCCAGAUAUCUUCCCUUCAGCUGAGGGCAGUAGGCACAGACAAGCUGUUUACUUCAGAAACAUCUGGUUUUGUCUCCAGGUAUAAGCAAAAUAGGAAGUCUGCCAUCUCAGGAGGUGACUGCAUCUAUGCCCUGAGUCAUCUCUGGGUGAGGGAAAAGGAGACCUGCUUUGGGGAGUUCCUGCUGGGGCUCCUCCUGGGGCCACAAAAGUGCCCUUACGGAAGCCACUGUAGCUAUUGAAUGCUCAUGACAGCCAUAUGCAGAGGACCCUAAGGGUCAGGAGGCCGUGACAGGAGCUGUACAAAAGCUCUGGAUAAAACCAGCUUUCCUCCAAAAUGCCUGACAUCCAGGGACACAGUAACCAAGAGCUUGUCUGUGUGAAGUGCAACAGUAUGGGAUCGUUAGGGGACUGCUCCAAAGAGAGCAGUGGCGUCUGGGACCUCGGCUGUGAUCCACCAGGCACAAGGGGGACAUGCCUGCAGCAGGGCUAAUAGUGCCUGUGCUGUUAUCUGCGGGUGGAAAGGGAUGUUCUGCUUGCCCGUCAGCCUCACCUGUGUGGGGAUGUCUAUGCAAGGUGAUCCUGCAUCACUGUGGGGGCAGAGAUGACCAAGCAACCUGAGUCAGGUGUGAAGUAAGGUGUCACAGGAUAGUGGUGAGAUGGUCUGGCACAUGCCUACACAAUCCCCAAAGCCAGCAAACUCUAUACCAAAUGGAUUUCCUGUAGCUUAAAGGAGGAUUAUUUACUAAGACCGCUUUUUUUUUUUAUUUUUUAUAAGGAAAAAGUGGUUCAUCAUCAAAAGGUAGUGUAAGGCAAACAAAUCAAAUAUGGUAAAGCCCCUGUGUCAGGAAGUACAGAGCAAACCCACAUCCCAUCAGAACUAACCCGCUUUUAGCUUUGCAUCCAAAAAUUAGUCCAUUUAUUGCCCAUUAAAAAUUUCCUUUGUCUCUUCUCAGUUGUGGUGCAUGCUUGAGAUGUUAAAGCUGGCAUUGUCCGUCUUUAAAGUAAUGUUUGAGAUCUAUUUACUCAUUAACUUUCAAAUGCAGGACACUUUCAAAACCUUUUCCUAAGGGCAUCACUGUGUUCUGUUGGAGUUACUGUUGUUUUCCCACCUACCCUGAAGGGCUGUUUAUGAUACCAUCUCUCCCUUUUAAUCCUCUUCUCCUUUCAUGUCUAACAACAGUGUUAAACAGAACACAGGGGGAAAAGGCAGAUCUCACACAUUAUAACCAUCUGUAGUUAACUGAAGAAAUGCUCCACAGUUAGAGGUCUGAUUUUGUAAAAUAAUGCUCAAGAAGCUUUUUUUUAUCUGUAUUUUCCAGAUAAAACCUCUGUCCUUCCAAGCCCCAGGUUUGUAUGGAUAGCAACUCAGAUAAAGGGUUUCUAGAAUUGAUGGUGUGGGUCAAUGUGCACUCUGUACAGUGACUGGGCUGCCACAAAAAGGAUAUUUCUUAGGAAACCCUAAACAGAUGGAUGUCUUGAGGUAUACACACAGGAAUGUGGGGAGUACCGAGAUGCUGAACAAUGACAGAAAACGUUAUGUUUCAAAAAUGGCCAUUUUUUUUUCUUUUUUUUUCCACAGUAUGCCUUGAUUUCUCUAGCUCUGUUUUUUGCCCUGUAUCUGAGCACUUUAAGACUGUGAAUGUAUUUAUCCUCACAAGUUUUCCAUGCGGUGGUAUGGGACUUCACAUUACCCAGAUCUCCGAGGCAGAGACUGAGGCUAUCGUAUAUGAUGAACACUUAUUUUAGCAGCAAAGCCAACAUAAGCAUCUCCUUGUUUCCCCUUCCCCUCUCCCACCACUCACUCACCCCUCAGCUGUGCCAGUUUCAAUGUUGUGUGGGAAACAAAUCGCAGAACACAUCCAGGUUAAAAAUAGCUGAAAAAGAGAGAGAGAGAGAAAUGAAUUCCAGAACUCGGACUGACAUCCUACAUGUACAUCCAAAGCCAACACAACAGAACUUUUUUAGCUCAGAUUCAAUCUGUCUGGCUGGCUCCAUCAAUAAUUUUUACCUGAUUUCACAUAGGACAGAAAGGUAGCAGUUUCAAAACCUAUCAAUUUCCUUUCUAAAUUUUGUGCAGAUUGAUGGCUGUGUGAAGGAUAGAGACCUUAAUUAGAGAAACGCAGCCAGCAGCCAACCGGCUAGUGAGUGUGUGCAUGCUGGCUGACCACGUAUGCAUUAGCAGGUCAGUCAAUAUAUACGUACCUGACUGCUGCCCAAUGAGGAGUCUUAGAGCAUAUAGGGAGAGGAGAGUUGGGCUUGUUGCAGCUUUUUUAUUUUAGGAGGAGGAGGGAGGAGAGAGACAACUAUGAAGCAAGGUUCACAGACCCACAGGAAGCCAGGAGCCAUUAGUUCCACUGCUCACAAAGCAGUUUGUUUAAAAAAACCCCUGAAAUUCUAUAAAAUAAGACCUCUUCUGCCAGUGAGCCUGUAAAUCAAGUGGAUAGUUUCUCAUCCAAUUUGGGGGGAAGCUGAGAGCUCGGCCUCAGAUUCCGGUUCAGACUCCAGCAACCACUUCUGCUUUUAGCACUCUGAACACCAAUGGAAACCACGGAUAGUGAUUUCUUUCCCAAACUCAAAUGUCACUUAAAGCCCUUGUUUUUCCUGAAUAACUCUUUAAAGCACUUGCUUCAUCUUUGUUCCUACCUACCUCCUUUCUAAUCUACAACAGUUUGCCAAGAGCUCUGUUCCAUUCUCUUCUUUUGUAUCCUUCGUGCCUCCCCUCUGGCCCAUGAAUGGCCCCAAACUUGGGUACAAAGAGGUACACAAAAUAUUCAGCAUAUUGUAUCUGAAAAUGAUGAGUAUUUUGGUGCAAACAAAAGCUGGCUCUUCCUGCCCACCUCUUCUCAGCAGAAAGAGACCCUGGGUCUCCUUGGCGCUUUUGCUGACCCGAAGAGGGGACUGUGUGGGAUGAGAGCCACAGGGUGGAACAGGAGCCACCAGACACCCUGUGAGCCAUGUCUAUGGUCCAGGGACUGAAGUGGAAGGGUCUUUAUGUUUCUGUGCUCAUGUCUUCUUUUUGGCAGCCCUCCCAAAUGAGGCUCUUGCCAUCAGCUCUGCAGCACUUUGGGGUGUGCCCAGGAGACUGUGCCCAGCCAGCAGCGGCUGGUGGCACAUGAGGGUGCAGGGGGAGCGCUGUGCCUGCUUGCUUCUCUGCUGGGGAAGGGGGCAGAGGGCUGUCCCUGUGUCAGACACCGUUUUUGGUAGGGAAAGCUUUAAUCAUAAUGAGCCUCUGAUAGCAACUGGGUCUGUUCCUACCACAUGUGGGUUUCUGUAGCCUUUGCUUUCACCAGUAGCAGAAAUUAUCAGCACCACAGGCAGGUCUCAGGCUUCUCCAGGUGGGAAACAGAGGUUUUGGGCAGCUGGGGUUUUUCCUGGUGUGGGAAAUCCCCAGGCAGCAAUAAUCCAGUGUAACGGGCUCUAUGCCAUCCCUGCUGCAGACACCCAGGAACAUUCCUGGGAGCUGCACCCAGCGUGAUCUGUUUGCAGAUACUCCGGUCUCACCUCAGGUAUGGAGCAAGGUGUGACGGGAAGGACCCGAGAGGGCUCCCAAGGAAUCCGCCUGCGUUAACUCCCUUGUCAUUGCCCACCGCCGGGCUGCUCCAGUCCACGCACCGCGGUAGCUGCUGGAGGUCAGCUACUCAGCUCCUGCCAGAGAAGCAUCUUCAUAGACCUUCCUAGCACCAGUUUCACUUCCAGAACUAGCUCUGUCACAAAUUUUCUUUUUCCCAAAUGGAAGAAUAUAGCCAUUAUGCAGAAGUGCCACUGGGGACCUGUAAAGUGGAUCUAAAGCAGAAGCUAGGGCUACCUUUCUGGAAAGGAGUGCUGGAAGGUCCUAUCCUCUCUCCUCACCAGACAUGGGAGCGUAGGAGGUGCUGGUGAAUCCUUCCCAACAUGGAGCAGCCUCAUGCAGAGCGGAGCAGCCCUUACAUUGCUGCAGCGUGAUGUCCUCCCUCCCAAAGAGAAGCUCAUUGCCACAGGGCUCUGCCCAGCAGCUGGGGGAGCAGAGGAUAAGGAGACCAGCAGAGAGGAAGCCAAGAGAGACGCUUCAAGAAGUCACUCCUGGAACAGGAUCACAUGACAGAAACUAAAAAAGCUGUUCCCCACCAGAAUGGCACUCAAAGGACCUUCAUCUGGCUCUCCUCUGCCCAGGAAGGGAUCUUAUUUGGUUCCUUCUCCCUCUGCUCUGUGCCCUGGAGCCUGUUCUUCUCAAAGUGAGUCUGUCCAUGUAGAUGUCUGCAGAGAGGCAGAUGGUGUUGGGGGAUCCGGAGGCCUGGGAUGUGUUUCAUGUGGUGCCAUCUCAUUUCUGCAUCUUGAAGCAAGCCCCCUUGCCCACCUCCUUGCCUAGGUUUAUAGCAUCUGCUGCUCAGGAAUGUCACGGGGCCCUGGGACAUUCACUGCAUUUUCAGAGCAGCUAGCAGACAACAGGUUCAUUUUAGCUGGGCUUUCCAGGUACAAAAUAAUAUAAAUGUGAAACAAGGAAAGUAACACCAUUUAUCAAACUCCAUUAUAGCAUGAAGAGCAGAUAAAUAGAUCCCAUAAUCAGAAGUUAGUCCUCCAGUUACAGUCUGGUUUUAUUUGGUGUGAGUUUUGCCCAUAGCACCUCUUUCUUCGCCAAAAUACACAGGUCUUGAUUUUUCUGACUUUACUGAGGUGUGAACCUGUAGUAAUUUCAAAGCAGCUACUCAAGUUCCAUUAGUAUUGAUCUACUUUAAGAUGAACAGUAGCCUCAUUAGGCUUUACUUGGCUUCCUGCCCCGCUGCUCGUCGGCUAAGGGUGGGCUGUGAUAACACCUAGGAAACAAUGCAGGUGCUUAGAGCAAAAAAUCAGGACGAGUGAAUCCAGUUCCAGCUCUGCCACUGACAAGAGAUGAAUCCAUGCCCGUUUUAUUUUUAAUUUUCCUUUCUGUAAUGAGAGUAAUACUGAUACCUCUUAUAGCAGAGGCACAACUGCUACUUUGGUUUGUAGAACACGUUGCAAUGGUCAAAGCACACCUCAGUGAAAAUACAAAGCGCUACUACUGUUUGUAAAGUAUGUGAUGCUUGUCCUAAACUUACCCUUUCUGAGCUGACACUUGGCAUGUCUGGUUUCCUAUUACAUCUCUACUGUAAAAUAAGCUGAGUUUUGGGUGAACUAUUUAUUAAAUAUGUAACUUUAAUUUUUUUUUUUUCCUAUAGGUAUACAUCAUGUUUAGUGCAUAUAACCCAGAUCCUUAGUGCUUCUGAAUAGCAGAGAAGCUGUGUAAAAGGUCUGUUGUCAGACAAACUACUUAUAGAUCAUGACAACAGCAUGAACGAGUGGGUUACAUAACUGACGAGCUAAUCACAUCUUGGUAGGCAGAAAAACAUUUAUUUUCUUGUCACCUAGCAAUAUGAUAAUGGAUUAUACCUGCUUCUUUCAAGUCUUGCUGCAAAAUGUGCUUUGUCUGUGGAUGCCCUUCCAGCAACAAAGUGUGUAGUGUAGUAGAGUGCAUGGCUCUGGAUUCCUACCGUGAGGCCCUGACUCUGAGGCUGCAGGUCGCUGCUGUCAGCAACACAACUCGUUUAAGGUGCAUCCACCUCCCUUCUCAGCCCAUGCUGUGCAUCCCCACGUACCACUGAACCCGGCCUCCACCGUGCUUCCACAUCGGUGUAGCAAAGCAACAGCACAAAGCAGGUUAACUGGUUGAGUCUGAGAUGGGUGUAUGUGAGCAGGUCCUCAACACUGUCCCCUCUUCAGCACCACGGGGUGCCAUGCAGUGCUUCUCAUCACGGACAUGGCAGUGGCUGGGGAGCGUUCCCAAGCCGGUCCUGGGCAUAGGAUCUGAUUCCCCCUCUCCCACAGAUAUGCCUGCGUUUACACUAGGUCUUUUGGAUGUAUAGAAAAUGUGUAUCAUAUUCCUAGCAGACACUGCUGAAGCAGGAAAUGCCUUAAAUAUAUAUCUGGCGUUGUACCAUGCAUUACCAGAGCCAUGGUUGUCUGCAGCACACAGAGAUACGCAUGUCCUCUGCUCAUCAAGAACUGCUCCACAUUGUCUGCGCACAUUGCAGCUCAGCCUCUCCGGGGAAUGCUGUGUUUGCUGGUAAAUUUGCACACCAGCCAGCGCUUUGCUUUCUGGUCUAUGAAUGGUGUAGCCAGAAACAGGCUGCUGUGCUGGUAUGCUCCAGAGAGGAUAAUACCAUCCUUUUCCAGACUGUUUAUUGUUUACCAGAGGUGCCUAAUUUCUGACAAACAAAAGAGAUGGAUUCUGGGCAAUUUAGCAAUAAUCAAGAGCAGGGUGAGCAGGAUGGCUUUAUAAUAUGUACAGCACUGUGUGCAAGGCUCAACAAAAGCCUGCAGUAACAGCAGCUUGCAGACACUGGGCCCUUACACUGCCACAUUAAAGAUAACGGCAACAAACUUUGCCUGCCCUGCAAAUUGCAGUCAGCAUAGAAACCUCCAAACUAGCAACAGAACAACUGUAUGGGAAGCCCAUGACAUUAAAUACAUGAAAGGGAAGCCUUGGGACUAUAAGAAGGAAUUGAGUAUGUUCAGCACAGAAUGGGUACUCCUCAAGGGACUAUUUAAACAUCAUUUACUAGUUUCGCCUGCUAGCAUAGCUCUGUCAAAGUCAACAGACAUCAAAAGUUUGCGCAGAUGAAGUUUACUCAGGAACAGAAGAGCAGAGCAAGACCUUCCACUUUGAUCAGUUGUCUUGGCUUUGCCCCUUCGCACAGAAGCCCUUCAGAGAUCUUUUGGGGUUUCUUUUGUCAUUUGAUGAGCUUGCCUCUGACAUAUGAAACCACGUGAGCAGAGCCGUAUGACUGAGGCAGGGAGGUAAUUCCAGGAGCAGUUAGGGUGUGUGUGGCAGGGUUCAUCUCAUGCCAGUGCCAUAACAAGCAGUGUGCUCCCUACCUGCAGUGCAGCCCCAGGUGCUCUGGGACCCAGGUGGAGAACCCGGGUGACCUGUCCCUCAGCUGCGUUACACACGCAGAGCUCAGGACUAUGAGCUGCACUGCCCUGCGGAUGAUGGACAUACAGACUGGGCUGCUAUGACUUACCACAGCACAUAAGCAUCCUGGCCCUCCCUUCCUUCACCUAUCUCCUCUGCUCCUGUUUUGUGGUGUCCCCUCACCCCUUCCUCUCCUCCUAGGGGAGACAGUCCCCCCUAGUUGGGUUAGGUUGGGUAGAGCAGUGACAUGGACAGGGCAGUCAGGGUAAUGCAGAGGAAAUGGUGCCAAGAAAGGGAAGAUGCUACAAUAAGGUAAAUACUCUGCGCCCACUAGCACUCUUGUUACUGUUUGGCCAUAAGCUAAACUCUUUCAGCUUAUUUGUCUUAGUCCUAGAUACAGGGUGCAUGAAGGGAUUGCCCAAACACAGCAGAGAAACCUCUAAUCUAUAGUCUCCACUGCAGUAAUGUUAGCGGUGUGGGUAGAGUUCAUGAAGCAGAUGUAGAUGUUUAAACUGUAGGUGUCCAUUUGUGAGUUAGUCACCUUAGGACACGGUUUUAAGUCAGAGAGAAAUAAGCACUUUUGGCAUAAGAUAGAAAUUUACACUCAGUGGAGCUAAAUUGUGCCUUGUAAGCUCCUGCUGCUCCACGCUGACAACACAGGGAGCUGGGCACAACCAGCUCACAGGUAAACGUCUGUGCGACACAUGUCAAAUGAUGGGCAAGAUAAAUCACAUUUUGUACAGCUUUGUUUUGACAUCAGGGUGCUACAUGCUGUGGGGGUGCUGGGAGCAGGGCUUCGGGGGUGCCUGGUGGGACACGCUUCGGCACGGAACCGCAGGGGCCGGGGGGACAGAUUCAGAGGAACACAGACACGCAGUGACAGACGCAGCAAAAGCCUUUGGGAAUGUGGCCACUGAAGCAACCGUGACUUCAUUAGACUUGUUCAAAAUGCCCUCUAGCCUAAACCUUUCACCUCAUUUAAUGGUUUCUUGGCCUCUACCCCUUAUAAUUCUGAAAUGAAAAAAAAAAUCUCUUUUGACUCCUGUUUUCAAGCCAGAGCUGUUUGAUUUGGAACGCUGCAUUGAAGCCUGUGCUACUGAUUGAUUUCAGGUUUAUUAUAUUUUCCCCUUUGAAACAUGCUACAGUAAAAAAAAAAAAUCUGCACACUUUGUCGUUUUUCAUGUAGCCCCCUCCCUCCCCUUUUUUUUUUUUCAAUCUUAGCAAAUGCUCAGUCUUUUCCACUUCAAUAGCCUGAAAUUCUCCCCUGGGAGCCCUAAGCUCUUUAAAUAUUUUUAGGUUGCCAGAUUUCUUAUGUUCUCUCUCCAGGAAGCCAAUUUCGUUUCUAAGCUCUUGAGAGUAGUCCAGCUUCAUCUUUUGCGCACUCACUGCAUCACAAUAAAAUGCUGCCUAAUUGCUGCCUCAGCUGAGUCCCAAAGGUGCUGGAGUUUGUCUCUAGGCUACAGUUGUGGACAAUAAACCCUUCUCAGACUGGAGUUAAGCCUUUUUAUUAUUUAAAUCUGAGUCAUGUAAAAUUAGUUUACUAGCAAGUAACCCACAAAGAUCUAGUAUGGAAAGAAACUCCCACUUAUUGUUUUCCAACAUGAUGAGAGAAUGAUCAGAUAUAAAGAUUUGCAAGCAGCUCACAAUAGAAGAUGUAAUAGAAAGACCAAUAUCUAAUUCAGCCAAAAAGACAUGAGAAUGUUUCUGUGAGCCUAGGAGUUACUCUCAGACCUUGGCUCUUUGGUGUUCUUUAGCUUCAAAUUGAAACUGGUGGCAUGAAAAACUCUCUUCUUUCCUCUAGCUUAUCCAUAACCUGAAAUACCUAUGGAAGAGGAAAGUCUGCAGAUAAAUGCCAGAUGAGCAAGAGCCUUUUGUUCUCAGUCUAGCAUAAUAGCCAGAGGAUUCAGGGAGCAUUUUGCUAGAAAAACAUCAAGAACAUACUAAGACCAGCUGGCCGCACCUCCCUCAAGCUUGAGAAGACCCUGCCAGCAAGGGACAAAUAGACAAUGCAGGGAGUGAGAAUGAACAAAUCCUUUUCCUCACCAGGACCAUGUUCAGACAUCAUCAAUAGCAGAAGAAGACAUUUGUACCUCAUACACAGGCAUUUUCUCCCUUCAUGUUCCUUGUUUUAAUCUGUAUUUCAAAGCGCUUGUAUUUCUGUUGUAUGGCUUCUGAUGAUAGCACACACUCCACAGACAUUAUAUUAGAAAGACUUAUCAAUCGUUUUUUGAGACUCUAAUUCCUUAAGACAACGCUUGCUUUGGAUGCAUUUGGUGCUGCGUGCCCAAAUCCACAGUCUCAAUGAGGCAAAAAGUGAAGCUGGAAGAGAACUCCAGAUUUUCUCAGUUAGACUGUACUUCAAUUGGAAAAGGCCAGACGUGACAGCAGAGACCUGACCCAGCCUUUGCGGUGGUGCUGGCAGCACACCUGCCGCCCGGGACGCUGGUGAGCGAGGAUGGGACACGUCCACGUCACGACGAGCCGAUUCAAAGAGCUCUUCAUACGGCUGCUUCCGUCAGCAGCGUGCGUGCACAACAGGCAGAGGGAUCUGUCUGCAGCAACUGUGCGGGGACUGUUAACCACACACCGUGCGCUCCCUGCGCAGAGACCCCUCCUGUUGCCGGGGUCUCUCAUUCCUCAUUUACAUUUGUCUUGAUCGCUUCUCGAGAACGUCAUGGCAGACACGGCGUGGACCGCAGAACCUCUGUUACUAAUGGUGACGCACAAGAGAGGAAGGAUGCGCAGGUCUGAAGUCGAUUUUGGCAGGCAGCAGCUAGAAAAGCUAGGACGCAAUUUCAGCCUUAUUCAGAUCAAUGGGAAUUUUGCCACUGAUGUCAGUGGGAUGAAGACUUCGCGCCACAUGUCUGCCUGUAAUCGGAGAAGAUGUAUUCCGUGAGUCCUGGAGACUCAGUGAAAACAGGACCCCACAGGGUUCAUCUUAGAUUCAUCAUCUGAAAUAAAACUAUGUGGAUUCUUUGUGCCCUUUCUCUAGUUAUCUGUAAAACAAGUAUGAUAAUGCUUUGAGUGCUAAACAAUACAAGGUGUGUAGGAAGACAUAAUAUCUUUUAUUAGGCCAACUGAUAUAGUUGGGGAAAAACUGACAAGCUUUCAGGCUUGCCUGAAAUGCUUUGAGAUGCUCUGAUGAAAGGUGUUUGAGCUGUGCAAGGGAUCAUUAAAUUACAUUCUUCCUCUCUCUGGAAAUCAUUUACUGAUGUUUCAAAGGAAAGAUGCUGUACAGAAAUAACUGAUUUCUAUUGCAAGUGCUGUCUGGAGCUAAAUAUCUUCCUUCCUCUCUCUUUAUGAACCAAUCUAAAGAAAAAUAUGUUUUAAAUUAACAUGUUAGGAAUUAUUUUGUGGCAUAAUGUAAAGUCUUGUGAAAUGUUCUGUGUUAAGGAUAAUUCACAAGAUCCUUAGGCAUAUACAUAGAAACAAAAUGGCUGGAUUUCUGUUUAAAGCUUUGUGGAAAUUAUGAAUGUAUCCCUGUAAAUAAAUUAGGAAGUGUGGAAGCUCUGUAAAAACAGUUAGUAGGAAAAAAAAAAAAAGGCAGAUAUGGGUCAAAAACUACAUUACGCUUGUAAACGCUGCUUAACAAACCCCCAGAUUUUCACUACUGAGUGUGGGCAUCAUGCCUUGGAAAGCUGUGGACUAGUCAGCGUCCACAAAAGAGUAACAGGACUAACCAAACACUUAACCCCCUCCUCUGCCUGACUUGAUCAAGGAGGAGAGAACGAACUGGGAGUGCUCAUUCAAAGUUAGCCGGGAGUGACAGACCAACAACACGAUGCUACUGCAGCUGGGAGUGCAGGAAGAAAUAUCCCUGCCACCAGUGGACCACCGAGCUUACUGUGGGCCAUCAAUGGGUAUGUGAGGGAAGGUGUUGGUCUCAUCUGCCUUCUCAAAGCAAGCAAUGAUGAAGGAAGGCCCAUGGCCCCAGGGUCACCUUGUCUUACAGCCUCCACUGCAGUGUGAUGGACAUGCUGUCCAGGAACAGCUCCAGUUAGCUGCAGGGCAGGGGCCGGAGGGACCAAGACCUUCCUCUUCCAGUCUCAAGUUCUUUACUCCACUUACGCUUUGUCCAAAAGGUUUAACUGUACAUAAAUCCUACUAGUGUCACUUUAGUAGUACUUUAGUUCAGUGUCAAAAUACAAAUUAUGUCAAGAACAGAGAAAACUGCGGGGGGCAAAUCUUUAAAUAUGUAAAAAGCAAAAAAAGGAUUAGAUAAACUUUUGUUUGUGUCUGUUAAACAACAA
Long non-coding RNA from Columba livia (rock pigeon), 15298 nucleotides. RefSeq lists it as uncharacterized. NCBI's taxonomy places the organism in Eukaryota, Metazoa, Chordata, Aves, Columbiformes, Columbidae. The record is from RefSeq and is a predicted model, not a curated record. The transcript has 3 exons.